RNAcentral lists this ribosomal RNA (480 nucleotides) under uncultured bacterium. RNAcentral's name for it is "bacterial SSU rRNA". It matches the Rfam family "Bacterial small subunit ribosomal RNA", at positions 20 to 518 of the family's 1533-position model. The record is from RNAcentral.
UGGCUCAGGACGAACGCUGGCGGCGUGCCUAACACAUGCAAGUCGAGCGAGGAGAUCCUCGGGAUGAUCCUAGCGGCGGACGGGUGAGUAACACGUGGGCAACCUGCCUCAUAGAGAGGAAUAGCCUUCCGAAAGGGAGAUUAAUACCUCAUAACAUUGCAGUUUCGCAUGGAACAGCAAUUAAAGGAGUAAUCCGCUAUGAGAUGGGCCCGCGGCGCAUUAGCUAGUUGGUGAGGUAAUGGCUCACCAAGGCGACGAUGCGUAGCCGACCUGAGAGGGUGAUCGGCCACAUUGGGACUGAGACACGGCCCAGACUCCUACGGGAGGCAGCAGUGGGGAAUAUUGCACAAUGGGGGAAACCCUGAUGCCAGCAACGCCGCGUGAGUGAUGACGGCCUUCGGGUUGUAAAGCUCUGUCUUCAGGGACGAUAAUGACGGUACCUGAGGAGGAAGCCACGGCUAACUACGUGCCAGCCGCCGC